This 369-nucleotide ribosomal RNA is filed under the name Callistethus plagiicollis. Its description in RNAcentral is "partial 16S ribosomal RNA". Lineage: Eukaryota; Metazoa; Arthropoda; Insecta; Coleoptera; Scarabaeidae. The record is from RNAcentral.
ACCGUGCAAAGGUAGCAUAAUCAUUAGUUUUUUAAUUGGAAGCUGGAAUGAACGGUUGGACGAGAAAAUAACUGUCUCAAUUUAAUUGGAUAUAGAAUUUUAUUUAUAAGUAAAAAAGCUUAUAUAAUUUUAAAAGACGAGAAGACCCUAUAGAGUUUUAUAUUUUAUUAUAUUAAUAAGGUUUAGUAUUUUUAUAUUUUUAAUAUAAUAAAUUAUUUUGCUGGGGCAGCAGAAAAAUUGAUUUAACUUUUUUUGAUUUAUUUACAUUGAUAUAUGGUUAACUGAUCCAUUAUUUAUGAUUACAAGAUUAAAUUACCUUAGGGAUAACAGCGUAAUUUUUUUUUAGAGUUCUUAUCGAAAAAAGAGUUU